Astyanax mexicanus (Mexican tetra) is the source of this 1112-nucleotide long non-coding RNA. RefSeq lists it as uncharacterized. The transcript is spliced from 3 exons. The record is from RefSeq and is a predicted model, not a curated record. Lineage: Eukaryota; Metazoa; Chordata; Actinopteri; Characiformes; Acestrorhamphidae.
GAAAUCUGAACAAGCUUACGUUUCUAAAUACAUUGGUGAGUAGACGCAUGCCACAUAUUUUGAGUUAAGUUUUUCAUGGCAGCGCAGCUGAACUUAUCCUAUAAAAGGUGUUUAUUCAGUAAGUAUGAAAGGAGGAGCAGCUGUGAGGAUCGGCUGUGUGCAGUUCAGAGUGAGGGGAUCGGAGGAAACCGGCCUGGGGUAACCCCGCCAGGAAAAGCACCGCAUACCCUGCCUUCUUGGGUUUAACUUUACUUUAAAAAUGAAAAUACCAAAGAUACUGUUCUAAGAUCCGCUGACUUAUAAAAAAAAGAAAAGAGAAAUAAUCAUGUCACCUGCAGCCCCUCCUGUGAGGGGGUGCUUUUCCUGGCGGGGGUGCUUUUUUCCUGAAUUCGGCACAACACCGAUCAUAAGAACGCUGUGUGGAGCAGCUGUGUUCCGAUCAUCGCUUAAUAAUAUAAUUUACUACAAAUAAUUUCCCCAUUUGUGAGUUUUGAUCUUUUUGUUUAGUUUUUAUUAGUUGACGAAAAAUGUUAUAGUCAUAGUUUUCGUUUUCAAUUAUUCAUUUUUAGUUACAUUUCGUCUUGUUUCGUCAUGAAAAAUUUGUCGUCAAUUAAGAUUUUUCAUCAUAGUUUUCGUUAACGAAAUUAACACUGGUGAUGUUCUCCUAACCCUGUUGUCUUUAUCUGGACUCUCUCCUGCUCUCUGAAAGCUCUGAAGCUGACUGGACCUCCUGAAAACAAGACUCUAAAGAAAGGAGACUCUGUAAACCUGACCUGUGCUGUGAACUGCUCUCUCAGCCCUCUACAGUUCGUGUGGUUUAAGAACAACCAGCGUUUACCAUCAUCAGACCCCGUUCUCCACCUUCCUGCUCUAACUGUGGAGGAUUCUGGGAGUUAUUCUUGUGCUCUGAAGACAGAUGAAGCAGCGAGAUCUGAAAUAGUCAGAAUACAUUUUGAAGGUGUCCAUCCAUCAGGCUUGAUCAUCGGUUUGGUCAUUGUUGUUGGGAUUGUGGUCAUAUUCGCUUUGAUAUUCGUAGCUGUAGUUUACAACAGACGGAAGAAGGAAAAAGCUGGAGAAGAAACUGAUGAUGGUAAAGGCAGGAAAACUCAGGU